CCUACGGGAGGCAGCAGUGGGGAAUAUUGGACAAUGGGCGAAAGCCUGAUCCAGCAAUGCCGCGUGAGUGAUGAAGGCCUUCGGGUCGUAAAGCUCUUUUUACCAGGGAUGAUAAUGACAGUACCUGGAGAAUAAGCUCCGGCUAACUCCGUGCCAGCAGCCGCGGUAAUACGGAGGGAGCUAGCGUUGUUCGGAAUUACUGGGCGUAAAGAGUACGUAGGCGGUUAUUCAAGUCAGAGGUGAAAGCCCGGGGCUCAACCCCGGAACUGCCUUUGAAACUAGAUAGCUAGAGUCUUGGAGAGGUUAGUGGAAUUCCGAGUGUAGAGGUAAAAUUCGUAGAUAUUCGGAAGAACACCAGUGGCGAAGGCGACUAACUGGACAAGUACUGACGCUGAGGUACGAAAGCGUGGGGAGCAAACAGGAUUAGAUACCCUGGUAGUCCACGCCGUAAACGAUGAUAACUAGUUGUUCGGUCACUUGGUGACUGAGUGACGCAGCUAACGCAUUAAGUUAUCCGCCUGGGGAUACGGUCGCAAGAUUAAAACUCAAAGAUAGUAGGACGNGNGAGAGCGACGACGACGACGAGGAGGAGAG
RNAcentral lists this ribosomal RNA (594 nucleotides) under uncultured bacterium. RNAcentral's name for it is "bacterial SSU rRNA". It matches the Rfam family "Bacterial small subunit ribosomal RNA", at positions 338 to 1242 of the family's 1533-position model. The record is from RNAcentral.